This 32044-nucleotide long non-coding RNA is filed under the name Coffea arabica (coffee). RNAcentral's name for it is "long non-coding RNA (CARA_LNC006822)". Lineage: Eukaryota; Viridiplantae; Streptophyta; Magnoliopsida; Gentianales; Rubiaceae. The record is from RNAcentral.
UGUUUGGUGUCUCGGAGUUGUAAUCUUCCUAUUAAUGAUUGUGACAGCUUUUAUAGGAUAUGUACUCCCUUGGGGUCAGAUGAGCUUUUGGGGAGCUACAGUAAUUACAAGCUUAGCUAGCGCCAUACCUGUAGUAGGAGAUAACAUAGUGACUUGGCUUUGGGGGGGUUUCUCCGUGGACAAUGCCACCUUAAAUCAUUUUUUUAGUCUUCAUUAUUUACUCCCCUUUAUUUUAGUAGGCGCCAGUAUUCUUCAUCUGGCCGCAUUGCAUCAAUAUGGAUCAAAUAAUCCAUUGGGUGUACAUUCAGAGAUGGAUAAAAUAGCUUCUUACCCUUAUUUUUAUGUAAAGGAUCUACUAAGCCCUGGUGACUCAUCAGAAAGAAGGCUGAAAGAUGGAGGGAGCUCAUUGAGUUUCUCAGGCAGGGAAUAUAAAAGAAAAGAAGAGAAGCUUAGCCCUUGAUCUGGUAUUGGCCCAUGCGCCUUGCCUGACUAGCAGUUGGAGAGCCCUGUGCUGGUUGAGCUAUGAGCCCUGGUGGAUAAUUCAAUGUCAUCUGUCUUCUCCCUUGGAGCCGAGGGAAUGAAAAGAGCUGACAAAGAGCUGCUUUACCGGCAGAUUAAGAAUAAAUCCCCUUCUUAUUCAACACGAACGGUUGGAGAGAGGAGUUCAACCCGCGUCUCCUCUUGCAAGGCAUUCCAAUGCACCCACCUGAAUGCCGUACUUGCCUUUCUUUAUAAAGUCCCGAUAAGUUCGCUAGUUGAAUGAAUCAUUAAUCGCACUUGCGCGACUAAUUGAACCAGUUCCCUCGGCUCCUUUUCUUGCUUGAUUUCGUGAUUCAAAGGAAUUGACCAAGCUGACUGACUUUCCUGAUUACUUCUUUUCUGCGCUAUACUUUUCCUGCUUGGAGGAAGAGAAUCCGCUGUUACAGACCCGGUUGUGAAAGAAGGUUUGAAGACACUCGACCAACGGGAGAGGAAUGGAACUGACUUGGCUCGGACGAAUCCCUGUGCUGGAAAGAAAGCGAGAAGAGAAAUGACUGUGCCAUUCUUUCACAUCACUCUUUUCAGUCUUAGACGCUUCUCUGAUCCCAUUCCUGAUAGGAACUGCUUGUAGUCUCGGAACCUAGCGCCUCUUUAUGUUCCCAAGGGUUCUUUGAUAAUCGAUAGUGGCUGUUGCCAACUCCUUCUGCUCUGCUUGCCUUCUCUUUUUCUCUGUCUCUUUCUCGGCCUUCGUGCCUUUGGAAAGAAGGCACUUCACUUCCUUUAAUGAACGCUAGGAAAAGAAAGAACACUACAGGAGUCACAACCGAAAACAAAGAAAGAAAAACAGCUAGCAUUCCAAAAGCAAGCAGAAAGAUAGAAUGCAGAAAGCAUUUCCUGGUCUUGCUCUUGACUUGUUUCCUUUCAGAGGCUCAACAAAAGGACAACUGAAAGCGUUAGGUAAGGUCUCAUAAGUGUUAGCCACCCUUUCCAAAGAAUUUCCAAGUGAGCCAGUGGAGUGGGCACACCCUCAGUUAACCCUCGCUGCAAGCUCUUUCGAGCAGGUUGUAGUUGGAUAUGCGUAUACCCUUCCCUAAACUAAACGGGGCCUGACCACGUGCAGGCUAAGAAAAGCGAUUCCCUGCAUUGACAUACUUCAAAACUGCUUUUAGCAAGCUAACCUUAGUCUCACCGCAAGCCCAGGGUACCUUACCACAGGUACUCUGUUCCUCCCAGGUACACUACGCCUGUAGUACGAAAUCAAUCAGAAAGAGUCUGAUGUAUGUGACAUAUCUCAUGGAUUAGAAUCCAGUCGAUCCGCCUACACGUCUUGCUUUUACUGUUAUAUCGGGAGUUACUCCACGUAUUGCUUGACGUAAAACAGAUAGUGGAUUUGUUUCUGUCUUUUGUUGAAUCUUUUUCACGGCUCGAUAGAUAAUUUGAUAAGCCAAUGAUUUUUUCCGUGUUUCAGAAUACGGUUAACCAACAUGUUAACUAAUCGAUUGCGAUAAAUUGGAUCGGAUUUGGCUGUUUUUUCUUCUGCAGCACCUCGACGUGACAUGAGCGUGAAGGGGUUCAAGAAUCCGUUUUCUUUUUAUAAGGGCUAAAAUCACAGGUUAUUACUCCUCGGAUGAGGAGCCAUCACUCUGACUGCCAGAAGAGAAGAAGGACCUUCUCUGAUGACGCAACCUUCAAGAAGGGAAUUCGGAAUCAUAAGACGAGCAAGAAAGAGUGCUUUCUCUGAAAAGAAAGAGAGAUUGGCAUUCCUCCGAUCAGCAUGAGAGCUCGAUCCAGCUGAAAGCGAUCCCUCAGAAGUCAAUCCAGCAGAGGAUGAAGAUGACCAGUUCGUUUGAAAGAAGAGAUCUUGAUCAAAUGGUCAAGCAGAAAGCACAAUUGACUUCAGUGGAGACGAUAUGACUGGAUGACUCUAUAUUCAAUGUCGCACCAAGGGAGUUUUCCUCACAAAGAAGGAUGGAGUGCUCGAACAUCUCGGCUGAUGGGGCUCAUCUGAUGUCAUCUGUCGGCAGGUUUCGGUCUGGCAGGGAGGUAUCAAUAUUCAUUACGAGCCUCUAUUCUAAGGUCAGGUACCUAUCCUUCUUUUGAACCAAGAUGAUCACCACCAAUUUGAUCGUUGUCGUUCGUUCGGAACUAGCAGGGCUGUUCAUUUCGAACCAGGAGCCGGAAACUCAGCAGUCGUUUAAGUAGGAAUCGAAGUCAAUGCUUGGUUGUUUAGUCCAAGGGGGGAACUCAUUUCAAUCUAAAGAUAUAUAAGCCAGGCUCUUCGACUGGAUCGAUCUGUAGCUGGUAGUUGGUGGAUGCGCUAAUGGUAGGUGCGCGAAUAAGAGUGGUUGGUAGAAAGAGGAUGGCACAGUCAGGCAUGAAAAGGGCCCUCCGAAGCAGAGAAUCUCCGAGUAUGGCAUUCUCGGCAUCAAGACUAGUUGCACUUUUCAAAGAGAACCUUCUUCCAUCUAGAGGCGAUGCUCGUUUAUUCAGUAUUGGACCAUCCAUCGCAGUCAUAUCAAUUUGACUAAGUUAUUCAGUAAUUCCUUUUGGUUAUCGACUUGUUCUAGCCGAUCUUACUAUUGGUGUUUUUUUUAUGGAUCGCCAUUUCAAGUAUUGCUAGAGGGUGGGUCAAGCUCCUCGUUCAGCAGAUAGAAACCCUACCUAUGCAAGAUUGAAUGCAGUGCUGCUUGGACAACAUCAUUGGAUUUAGUACAGUCAGCUAGGAAUCAUCAAGUCAUACUGGGAAUGCUACCGAGACAGUAGAUAUAUGCUUAAGGAAGAGUCCCUGAGAAAGAAAGCAGUUCUUAUGGACAUUAACUUUCUGACCAGACUGAUGUUCAUACGCCAAUAAAACAUCCAUCUUGGCUGGCACAUCUCUGAAAUGUGCACCAUUAUCCGAAUCAUUCUAUGCAGCCUCCAGUCCCCGGAGGGGCAUUUCUCGAGACCAGGCAGAAGACGCUCCCUUCUUUAGAAUUUCGCCAACCCUCUCUUUCGACUCAUUUCUUCCAUCUUCUCCUUCUCUUUUAUCUGACCCGAUGAAGAGGGGAUUUCUUCAUAUAUUCCUAGUAGGACGCUUGGUAGGACCAAUGCCUUUGCCCCGGUAGCUGAAUAGUCUCCUGCUCUCUCUUCUCGGUGUGGAACGUUAUACGAGAAAUAGAUGCUCAGCCUGCAAUGUCCGAUAACGGCGCUGAAGUAGUGAAUCUAUCCCUCCGCUUGCUGGAACUCGAAGGAAUCAAACUCCAACUGAAACUGCCUAGAAGCCCUCUCCAAAUGGCUCAGGAAUAGCAUAGCUUGGAGAAGGCACGGGCACUGGGAUACUUUUCAUAUUCAGUCACGAGGACUGCAACAGGCUCGGCAGGGAACUCGCUUUCCGAUGAAUAGAAUACUAAGAAAGGAACGGAACAUUGGAAUUGCUUAUUAGCAGGAUCGAAUGGACUCGAUGGAGACAAAGAAAGAUGCAGGUUAGUUCGAGGUGAGGUUGGUGGCGACCAAAGGACUGGACUCAAGAGAUCGCAAGUUCGGGCUUAGUUCCUUCGUUUGCUUGCUCAUUCGCUUUUCUCGGGCGGCUCAGUUGGUAGAGUUGUUAACUGACCGAAUGGAAUGUGAAAGCUCCCCAGAAGAAAGACUACCUUCUUUCUAGUACUUCAUUUCUAUAUGUAAAUAGACAAACGCUAAGGGCUUUCUGCUCCUUACUAGUGUCAUAUGAUGACUCCGCCUCUAAAGCAUUCCUAGAGCAAGUAGUACCUGUCUUUGGGGGCUAGACUAAAGGACCCUCUUUCUUUUUCUUGCUUGUGGAGAUCCAGAAAGCUACAUCCGAUCUUGCGCCCUGCUUUCCUUAUCCCUGAGUCCUAUCUCGCAAAAGCAAUGGUAGGCCUUUGGAGCUAGUUUAGUUCUUUCAUCGCCCCUUUCCCUCGUAAACUUGAAUUGGAAUAGUGCCACUCUCGGGAAAAUUGGUAUCAACCCCUCGAAGACGGACAUUUCAAGAGUGCCAGUUUUAGGAAAGAGCCUCUUUUGGGCCUAUUUGCCUAGGUUCUUGUGAAUGGGCUCAGGAGAUUCAUGAUCUUAGGUUUGAAUUAAAGAGUUGGAGCAGUGAAGUUCGUGCUAAAUGACCGAACGAACGUAUCUGGUUGCGAGUCUUCUCCUACUGAGAAGAGAGCUGCUUAAACAAAGCGUAAACGCACAAUCAAAGGAAAGGAAGGUUUCCUUGAAUCGCCAUCACCAAUUCGCAGUAUGGUUGAACCCGGGACCGGAUCCACAGGCGUUGGAACUACUCUCAGGACUCUCUCCCUUUUAGCGCCGGCAGGAGAUAUAUUUUAUAAAUUGACUAGUUAUUAGAAUCAAUCCUUUCCCAAGCAAAGCAUCUGUUUGGCCUUGGAGCUAGGCCCUUCUCCUUGGCUCAGUUUGUUCCCACGGACUAUCUAUUCUCAAGUUAGUCCCCAUCGGCGAUUAUCACUUAUAGAAUAUUCGAUAAAGUUACCUAGGCAUAGAUUGGGUUCCAGGUCGUGGUCAUACUCACCUUCCUCCGGCUUAAUUUUUUGUUUCCGCACUAUCUAUACUUGUCAAGGAACAACUUCUCUUCAGAAAACUUUCGGAGAAAACAUCUACAAGACCGUCAAAUCGAACCCCAAAAUAGCAAGGUUGUCAGCACUUGGACAGUUCUUCAUUAGAAGGUUGGUGACCCGGUUCCUUUAUUUGGCUGCAUUAUCUUCGGAUCCUCCAUGUUUAUCUGGCUCUAUUAAGCUUCAAAGCUAACCUGGUUCGUCUCUUUCUUUUCGUAUAUGUCUAGAUCUGCAUCAUAUGUAUCAAGAUUGUUGCAUUCGUUUGUUUCCUCUUUCUCUUCUGAUUUGACUGUCUUCCGCUUUAUUUUACAAACCCCAGUCUAGAUUUGCCUCUUUUUUUUUGUUUGUUUUGUUCAAUCUUGCAUUUUGACGAUGGGUUUUGUGAAAUCUAGUGAGUGUUUGGGACCGGAGUUUUGUUUUAGAUUGUCACAUGCUUUCUGGGUUGUCAAACUUUCAAAGCAUCAGAAUGCUUUGAACAACUUUGCAUGGGAGAUUUGGAAUUUGCAUUUUGGCCUCCCAACUUUCAUCUAAUCCCACUAUGGCCUAAUACCUGGAAAAAUUGAAUCAAUUUUCCCAAGUUUUAAUCUUCUUUUGCAUAUUUUAAAUAUGUUUUUGAACAAAUUAUUUCCAGAUUUUAGAGUAUAAUUAAGGUUUAAUAAUUUUUGAUAGAUUUAAUGUCUUGUGCAUUUUAGUAAAAUAAGUAGGGUUUUGGGUUAAGAGUUAUUUUAUUUGGGUUUUGAUUGGGUUAUGGCAUAGGGUUGGGAGAUAAAGCUCAUACAUUUUAGUUGGAUUUGCUUGGGUAAAAAGAGUGGAUUGGCCCGUAUUUUUCUUUGGAUUUGGGCCGGGGGGUUUUGGCCCAAGGAAACAAUAAAAAGGGCCCAGACCCCUUGGGCUUACUAAAUUUGAUAUGAAAAUUGUAAUCUGAUUCCUAUACUUUUGAGUAAUUUUAUUAUGACCCUAAAAAUUUUUAUUUUCUUUCAAAUAGAUCCUCAAUGUAAUUACAAUGUGGUCCAUAAACUUUAUUUUGCUUUAAUUUUCACCCCUGAUCAUUAUAAUAAUUAUAAUUUGACCCUAAAUAUUUUCUUAUUUUUGCAAUUAGAUCCCUAAGUGCUUUAAUUUCUUAAGUAUAAUUUAUCUAUCUUCUUUAAUUGUUAAUUAUACUUCAUUUAAAUGCUUUUAAUUGUUAGACUUUAUGGUUAUUUUCAUUUUUUUAUAAUUUAUUUGUUAAUUAAAUUGGUGUCUUGACCAUUUUGUUAAUUUUGGAGUAUAAAUAGGGCAAUCCAACCUCAUUUAACUAUUACUUCAAGGGAGGUAUCUUCUAAUAUUAUUUUAAAUUCUCUUAUGUGCUCCUAUGUAUUUUUUAUGUGUGAUUGCAUGUUUUGAGUUUUUUUUCUUGUAUUUACUCAUUUUAUUCUUUUUAAAUUUUCAUUUAUUAUAUUUAAUUUUUGAUGAUUAUUUGGACGGCAUUUAAAUGUUGAAUUAUAAUAGAUAGAUGUUCAAGAGAUGUAUUUAACUUGACUAUGUAAUAGAUAGAUUUUUUUUUGUCAAAAUGUAAUUAGUUAGAUGAAUGAAACAGUUAGGUUAAUAUUUUUCAAAUUCCCCACUUUAGAUUAUAGUUAGGAUCCCAAAUGUAAUAGUUAGGUCUUUAUGUGCAUUUAUUUGCUUGUGUACUUACAUGCUUGUGUGCUUAUGUGUUUAUUCGUUUUCUUUAGACUCUUUGCAUCUACAUAUUAUGUUUGUGUUAUGUGUUCCAUGUGCUUUAUGUGUUUAAUUGUUUUAAUUAUAUUUUAUUUAUUUAUAAUAAAUGGAUGACGUCACCACACUAGUCCAACGCUAGUUGUGACCUUUUUCCCGUUUUCUCACUAGUCCAAUGCUAGUGAGAACUUAUAGACAUGAGUUAGUCUAAUGUUAGACCUUUAGACCUGCCUACGCGUUAGAAUUAUAUGUUUGUAUGACAUUUAUUGCAUUUCAUGCAAUUUUUUUUUUAAUUUUUAGGGUCUUUUUUCUCAUGUUGCAUGAUCUUUCUUCUAUAUAUUAUCUCCAUCAUUCCUAUGUGCGGGAAACAUGACAUUUAGACUUGCAUUCCAUUUAGGAAAAUAGAAAUAAAUUAGUUCAUUUGCUUAAUUAAGUUAGGAAAGUCACCCUUCAAAUAUGGGAAAUGAACGAGUAUGGCUUCUUAGCUUUAACACGCUCUUUUCCCCUCUAUAAGAAGGAAAAUUUGAUUCACGAAUUUUAGCAUCCUGUACCUGUUAUGUUGCAUUCCUUUUUUUUAGGUCAUGUAUAUUUAUCUAUAUGUUAUAACUUCUUUUUCGAGUCUCAUUUUUUGCAUAUUCGUGACCUCUUCUAAGAAUCAUUUUUGGGCGUCACAAUUAAUGUGAUUUGCACCAUUUAAACUUAAAAAGACAAGCCGACCCUCCCGAUACCCCCUAGGUCUAAAUUCGCAUCUAUAUAGAAGCAUCAUAAUGUAAUAAGUUUUAUAGGUUAGACUAAGAAAUUUUUUUAUUAAAUCUCACAACUAGUUUUGACUAGAUUAAAAGGGUGCCUUAGAUUUGAGACUAUCAAAUUUUUGCCUUCUCUUUCUUCAACCGUGACUCGCGAACUAUCUUCUCUUGUUUACAAAAAUCUAGAGUCAUCUAAAAGGGGUUUUAUUUAAAAAUAUAUUUUGGAUGAUUUGGUACACCUAAAAUUAAUACUAAGUGGCGACUCUUAUUUUUUCUAAAAAACCCUUUUUCGACUAUUAUUUUGGUCUCAAACCGUCGCAUUUUCUAAAACCCAUAUUAGGCCCCUUUUUCUUUAUUUAUUUUCUAAAAUCAAAAUCUUUUUUUUUUCAACCCCUAAAUUUUAUUUUCAAAAAAUGGGGCGCUACAGUUGGUGACUCCAUUGGAAAUUUUUAGAGAGUCCAAACAUUUGGUUUAGUCGAUCCUUUUUUUUUCUAACUCUUUUUACAUAUCACAUUAGGAUGUUUUAAGUUGCAUUUUUUUUCUUUUCCUUUUUCUUUUUCUUCUCCUUUUUAGGAUUAUUGCAUUUCACAAGCGCAACAUCCUCUCACUUUCCGUGUACGUAAUGGAUAAUUUACUUUCAUUUAUGUUAUUGCAUUUUUGUAUUUGGGGUGGGGAAGUGUCACCCUAGAGCUUUCAUGCAUGCUCAAUAAUAAUUUGUCCUCUCAGAGGAGCAUUUCAUACGUGCAUACGCUAUUUCUUUUAACCCCUCAUUUUAUUUUAUUUUAGUAGUUGUCACACCACUCCUCCCUAUUAGGAUUAUGAUCGAUUCACUUGGACAUGUGCCCGUAGCAUGACGUGUACAUAGCAAUGCCGAGGGAUCACUCAAACCACCAAUUGAAGGUUUUGGAAUUGAUGACCCUUUGCCCUUUGGUCUGAAGGUUUGGGGGUCUGAAAUCUAAUCGAAUCUAGAUGUAUUAGUGGGACCAACCUCAUGCAUUUAUAUUAGAAAUUGCCUAGAAUAGAGUUAACCUUACCCAGUUAGGAACACUAGAUAUGAGGGGAGGGAUUCUACCCUUCUUUCUUUAUUUUAUAUAUGUUUGUAUCAUUUUAUUGAUCUAACGUGUUAUGUGUUGUUUAUUGAACUAACCUCUCUUUGUUUUCUCUUCUUUUGCAUUCACAAAUCUUAGAAAAUAAAAGUUUUGGCAUGGUACUUUUUAAGAACCCACUUUAGUAGAUAGAUUCUUACACGUUUGAAUUACAAGUUAUUACAUUUUAAUAUCUUAAUAUUGCACCUCAUUUUAGACCUAUCCUGACGUAUAAAAAGGGUUCCUUUAGGUCAUAUUUAAUUCCCGUUAUCGCAUAUUUACUCGCUUUAAUAAAGUGACAUCAUGCAUCAACCUUAGAGGGAAUGUCAUUUAGGGAAUCCCACUUUAGGAUUAUGCCAACUUUUUCUCCCAUGGGUAUCUAACCCGUUAUGGGAUUUGCAUAUUUAAAUUUUCGUAAAACUGGAAGGGUGGGGCCCGUAAGUAAGGUAUUUGACCCAGACUUUAUGCUCCAGAUGGACAGUUCCCGAUGAAUCAAACAGUUGCUGGUAGUUCCGAUUGAGAUUCAGAGGUGGCCCGCACUCCUUUCACCUAAUGAAAUCCAUCAAGUAACAUCUCAUUUAGGACCAAUUGGAGAUCUCAAAGACAUUCAGUCAGAUGGUUAGUUGGUAGAGGCUUUGGUACAAUUAUGGGACCCUAGUUACUUGGCAUUUAGAAUAGAAAAUUGAGAAAUGACCGUAACAAUUGAAGAGGUAACCGGUCUUCUCAACUUGUCGGUGCGUGACACCGUAGUGAUAUUUUCAUUUGCGUCCGGCAAAGUUGAGUUUUGUCAUUUCAUUGGAUUAAAGGAAUCUGUAGCACAAGGGUCUGAUCAAAGUAUAGAUGUGAAAUUCCUAUUUAAUCAUUUGCACUAAGAGAUGGGUUUGAGAGACAUUCUAGGAAUUUUUCGUUUAUGUCUAAGGCAAUGUGGGAGCGAAAGAGAUCGUGGAUAUAUGGAUUUGUCAUGGCGGAAACUUAGCUCUUUUCGCGAAGGGACAAGAACAUCGCCUUCAGGAUCACUAAACUUAUGUUUGACCUCUUUCUUGGGAUUAAGAACCUACCAUACUCUAUAGUACCAACCAUUUUAACUGACAUAUUUGUCGUUUGUAUCAGUUGCCAGAGGGGAGUGAAAUUCUUCCAUGGUCCAAAUCUGAUUUUACACAUGUGGGUUAUGGAGUAUUUUACGAGAAAACUACCCGUUUCGGACAACUUGUCAUUGAUUGGGUACAAUUGGAUAACAACCCAUCACAAAGAGAAUUGAUAGGAAUAAUUUGCAGAGAAGUGCCUCAGAAUACGUGGGUUUUUUUGAAAAUGUUGUUGGAUUAAGAGAUUAGAUGGGUUUGGGAUUGGAUCGAUUGCCUCAAACUUGUUUUGCGUGCCAAGUCAUCAGAAUUUAUCCCAUUACUAGGAACUCAAGGCAUCAUAACUUAUACGCCAAAAAGAUUUCUUAGACAGUUAGGACGAGUUCAAGGGUUGCUACAUACAUCGGAUCUGGCCGAAUUCACUAUUAGUUUCAAUAAGAGGAUCUGCUCCAGUGAAGUUCCAAUGAAGGUACCGAUUAUUGAAGAUUGGGGAACAUUGUCCGGCGAUGAGCGCAUUGCCUACAUUCCAGAAUUCAGGUAAAAAAUUUUGGUUACCCCGCAAUACGAGAAUUGACUUAGAGACUCUGGUACAAAAGAACUGCAAGAAGGAGGUCAAGAGGUUACUGGCUAUUAUUAAGGCAAAAAAUAAGAAGAAUCUACAACUGAAGAAGUCCGUCGAAACUAAUAAGGAGUUGGCAGAAAAAAGUAGAAGGUCAAGCGAAGAAAUGCCAGAAAAAAUUAAUAACUGAAGGAAAAAUGUGGAGAAUUGUAUGAUCAAACGGAACGUAUGAGCAAUCCUUACUCUAGAGAAUCCAAAAACAUUGUAAUAGAUAGGUUGAAGAGAAUUAAUAAAUUUGUACAAAAUCGCCUUCGAGAAAUGAUGUAAAUAUUCUGCAAAUUCGGCAAUAAAAUAACUUUUCUCUUUCGUGCAAUAUCAUUAUUAAAAAAAUAGGUUUGAUGAACGGGCCCUGCUCUAAAAGUGUUGUAUCAUGUUAGGCCAACUUUUGGCGUAAAAAGGGCUCCUCCCAUAGGACAUGCAUCCCGAAAUUAUUCAGAUAUCUACUAACUCAUGUCUUUUUCUUUUUUCUUUUGAAUAAACUGCAGGAAUUUGAUAGAAAAUGCACUCCUGAACUGAUUUCUUUUCCUCAUCCUCAAGUACUUUUCAAAAUAGCUACACUUAAAAUCCCAUUAUUACGAGGUCCCGUAGCCGAACCUUGAGAAACCGUGAAAAUAUGAGUUUCUAUCCGUAGCCAUCAGAGAGAUCUGCAAUAAUCCCAUCAUCAGACGCUGCAAAUUUAGGGGCCCAAUUGAGUGAGAUGCUGAACAAAUUCAAUAAGUUAAGUGCAGAAAUGGCGGUGCAGAGGCGGAUGAUCGAUCAACUGGUGUCAAACAACACUGGCGGUGUCCAAAGCGACUCUGUACCUAUUGAUGAUAACCAACAUGAGUUAGAAAACUCGCCAUCUCAUAUGUCACAUAAUCAAACUGCUUUUAUCCCACCUUUUUACAAGUCAAUCCGGAGGCGUCUUUACUUAUCCCAUCCCUAGUUUGUCACAUACAUAUUCGAGUAAUAUCUUCGUUAACCUGACUAGCAACCAAAUUUCUCAAAGUUGCCCACAAAUUAACUUGAAUACUCUAUCUAACCCUCAAGGACUUCAUUACCUCGCCACGGAGCCGUUUAUACUGGACACCGUCUUUCAAGGAAGGUAGACAUAGGAGAACCCUCUGCCUCAAUGAACAAGAAUUUGCUAAAGAGGUUGGAUCGAUUCGAUGAGUUCACGAAGAAAAGGCAGGGAUUGAACAAGCAUGGAGGAUUAGUCUAUGAUGAAUUGUGUCUCUUUCCGGAUAUGCAGUUGCCUUUAAAUUUUAAAACUCCUAAAUUUAGCAAGUAUGAUGGAACCUAAAAUCUCAAAACGCAUUUUCGAAUGUUCGCAAACAAGUUAGAGAAACAAGUGGAUGACGAGAACCUACCAGUGCGAUUAUUUCCUGAAAGUCUGGAGGGCGACGCUCUGGAUUGGUAUUCUAAUCUAAAGCCUAAGGAAAUAAAAACUUGGUUGAAUUUAUCUACACCUUUCAUGAGGCAAUAUGAAUACAACUGUGAAUUUGCGCCAACAAGAACAACACUUGAAAGGACCAAGAGGAAACCAUCAGAAGACUAUAAGACAUAUUCUAAAUAUUGGAGGAAUUUGGCCGGUAAGGUCGAACCCUCCAUGACUGAGGAAGAAGUCGUCCGCACAUUCAUUAAAACUCAUGACCCACCAUACUUCGAGAAGAUUUUUCGUAUGAUUGGGUGUUCAUUCUCGGCUAUUGUUAACAAGUUGGAAGAAUUUGAUGAGUUCAUCAAGGCAGGAAAAAUAGUUAACGUGUCAAUGUUGAAAAUGCAAUUAGAAGUCCUGCAAGGUCAGAAUAAUUGUGAAAAGAAUCCCCAAUUCAAGUAGAAGAAAAGAAAAACUGCCUUUAUAUGGGAUCAAAACCCCUCAACUAGACUCAAAUUUCAAAACCGCUCCACCUAUCCAUCUCCUUACCCGUGCUAUUUAAACUCCCAUCCUAUCUACCAUACUACCGUCAAUCAUUCUCGUCCCUGACCCAACUACACAAGUAUGCCUACACUACCUUUUUAGAUUUCUCAAGCAAACCUACAAACUCGACCCCGACCCCCUUAUAAUUCAAGACCCGUUCCACCAAAUAAUCAAACCUACAACCAUACUCAAAUCAAUGAAAUUCAAAAUCAAAACCAAUAUCAAACCUUCAUCAAUUUAGGCUGAUUUCUUGACCAAUUAUACAAGUAACUUAAAGCUGCUGGUAAGAUUGGCAUUAUGUCUCCCAAGACCUACCCUAGAGGUGUUCCUGUUGGAUAUGAUUUUCAAACCAUUUGCGCCUAUCAUUCUGGGAGUCUCGGUCACUCUAUUGUCAAUUAUUGGGUAUUAAAACAUAAGAUCCAAGGCAUGAUUGACGUCGGGGACAUAGUUUUCAGAAAAAGAGAUAAAAUAGAGUCGAAUGUCAGCAAGAACUCUCUUCUCGAACACAAGAGUACUAUACGGGUUAUUACUAUUGAUGAGGAGUUCGAAGAGCCUGUCGAAUACAUUAUGGAUAAAAAUAAAGUAAUUGGGAUAGUCGAGAAGCCAUUUAUACUGGAAGAAGAACUCUUGGAAACUAAUGGAAAUCCUUUCAUCCUAGACUUGUCGGAAUCUGUGGUACUCGAAUUUCCUGAGCAAUCACUUGUGCACAACUUGCAAGAAGUACCAUGAAAUUAUGAUAAAUCUGCCCUACUGAUCGGUGAUAUAGAGGUGUCAAAGGAGAAAAUAGCUAUUGUUAUCAGAUCUAGAAGGAUCGUGGACGACUGUGAAAUUCUUACUCAACCAUAAGCGAAGGAAAUGCUCUGUCAUCCAUACCAUCUGUGAUUGAAGAGGAGGCACUAAAUUUUCUCAAGUUGCUGAAAAGGAGUGAGUUUAAGAUCAUGGAAUAGUUAGAUAAAAUGUCUGCCCAAAUCUCUAUUCUAGACUUGCUUUUAACCUCCAAGUUACAUAGAGAGCCAUUGCUCAAGGUCUUAGGUGAGGCUCGAAUACCGAUAAAUAUUCCAGUUGACAAGUUCACUCACAUUGUGGAGGAUGUUCUGACUACUAAUCUCAUAAUCUUUUUUCUGAUGAGGAUUUGACUCUUGAAGGGAUCGGACAUAAUAAGGCGUUAUAUAUCUCAAUAAGGUGUAAUGAAAAGUUGCUGCCAAGAGUCCUGAUAGACAACAAAUCCAUUUUGAAUAUCCGGCCAUGGAACACUGUUCUAAAACUUAGACUUCCUGAUGCUAGACUGUGGCCAUCUGCAACGAUAAUAACAGGAUUUGACGUUGCAAGAAAAGAGUCAAUGGGCGAAGUUGAUUUGGUACUGGAAAUAGAAUCCCCCCAAUUUCAAGUAGUUUGUCAAGUUAUAGACUUUUUGCGUGUUUACAAUGUUCUAUUUGGAGGACCUUGGAUCCACACUUCUAAUGCUGUUCCAUCUUCUCUCCAUCAAAAGAUGAAAUUCAUUGUAAAUGAACAACUGAUCAUUAUGUUCACCGAAGAUGAUUGCACCAUGAUUGUCAACUUUGGUUCGAAUGGAGAAAAUGGUAGAAAAUGUCUCAAUUCUCCUCACCAUGUGGCCGACAUCGUGUCAGUUGGAUGGAUUUUCAAAGAAAGAAUAGAUGCACUUGAAGCCAGUGUCAUGAUGGUUAAGAAAAUGAUUCGAGAAGAGUAUGAAAUAGGCAAGCGUUUGGGGUGGAAUCUGCAAGGCAUUUUGGAGCCUAUAGAGUUUUUGGGGAAUAAAGAUACAUUUGGAUUGAGAUUUCAAUCCACAACUAAGGACAAAAAGGAGAUGCAAGCUCAUAAAAAGUGAAAAAGGAAGGAAAGCAAAUUUUCAUGAGUAUUCCACCAUUGCACUACAUCUCUUCCCGUCCAUCUGGGAUAAUCCUGCCUGAAUUAGAUGAGAAGAACACGAUUGAGGAGAUCGAGGUGGGCUUGUCUCAGUUGUUCGUUGGAGUCCCUGCGAGGAUGAGCCCCUGGAAGAAAUGGAGUUUCCAACCAUCCCGAAAGAAGCUAUGCAAAAUUGGACUAUUGAUUAGCUUCCCUUUCGAAAGAAAAUUUUGGUAAUUUAGGGAGAUUCUCUUUGAUCGAAAUCCGUGAUAAAGGUUACUUUGUUUCUCACUAUUUGUUUUCUUUUAGUAUUAUGUUAAUAUGCAUUUUGUUUAAAUGAAAUCCCGUUCCCACUGCACAGUUCCGGUUAAUAUGCUUUUGUUUUAACUAACAUUUCAUUUUGCAAAGUACUUGUCCUUAUUCGAAUGUCUGUCUACUUUUUAAAUUCAAUGAAACGGAAGGUCUCUAUUUAUCUUCUAUUAUUUUCUACUUGUUUAUUGUCCAUAUUACUUUAUUUUUAGAUGAUCAAAAAUAAAACUAUUUGACCAUUCGAAUAUCACCAUUCUGAAAUUCAAUGAUUGCAAACUCAAUAUCUCUUACGAAUUUGAAAUUAUAGAAUCCAAAAUUCAAAAUGAGAGUGAUAGCAAGGAGGAACUUGGGUCUAUUUAAAAAAUUCUUAAAUAAUAUGAAGAAAAAUCUAAAUCGAACUUAGAAGAGACAGGAAUAAUUAACAUUGGCACUAAGAUGGAGGUUAAAGAGAUCAAAAUUAGUGUUCACUUGAAUAAGGAAUAGAGAAAGGAGAUGACUGAAUUUUUAACUAUAUUUCAAGAUGAUUUGAAUGGUCGUAUGAUGAAAUAUUUGAAAUUUCUACAGAUAUAGUGGUCCAAAAUUGCCGACUGAUUCAAAAUUUUUACUAGUAAAACAAAAAUCGUGCAAAUUUAAACCAGUUAUAAGUUUUAAAAUCAAGGAGUAGAUCGAGAAGCAAUUCAACGUCAGAAUUAUUAUAGUGCCUCGUUAUCCAAUUUGACUUUCAAAUCCCGUACCGGUUACGAAGAAGAGUGGAGAAGUGGAGAUAUCAACAAAACUAGUCCGAAAGAUGAUUUUUCGCUGCCAAACAUUUACAUUUUUCUGGACAACACUACGGGACAUGAAAUCGAAUCUUUUGGUGACUGUUUCGUCAGGUAUUAUCAAAUUUUAAUGACGGAAGAAGACAGAGAGAAGACUACUUUCAUCACUUCAUGUGAAAAAUUCUGCUAUCGAUUAAUGCCGUUCGGAUUGAAAAAUGUUAGAACCACUUAUCAACGAACCAUAACCACUUUGUUUCAUGACAUAAUUUAUAAGGAAAUUGAGGUUUAUGUGUACAAUAUUAUCAUUAAAUUCAAGAAGCUAAAGACCAUCUGAUUGACUUAAAGAAAUUGUUCGAAAGGUUGAGAAAGUACAAUUUGAAAUUGAAUCCUACAAAAUGUGCUUUUGGGGGCUCCCAUCGAUAAAUUAUUGGGAUUUAUUGUCAGUAAAAAGAGAAUAGAGAUUGAUCCAGCGAAAAUCAAAAUGAUUCGAGGGAUGCUCAUAUCGAAAACUCAAAAGAACGCGAAAUGCUUUUUGGGGAAGAUCAAUUUUAUCGAUAGAUUUAGCGCUCAAUUGAUAUCUACAUGUGAGUCUUUGUUCAAAUUACUGAAGAAGAACGUGCCAAUGCAUUGGAACGAAAAAUGUUAACUGGCUUUUAAUAAAAUUAAGAAUUAUUUGUUGAACCCUCCGGUUUUAGUGUCACCUAAGAUGGGUCGACAUCUGAUUAUGUAUCUAUCUGUACUUGAUGGGGUUGUAGGAUGUGUUUUGGGACAACAUGACGACUCGGGAAAGAAGGAACAAGCCAUCUAUUAUCUCAGUAAGAAAUUCACUGGAUACGAGAUCGAUUAUUUCUUUUUUCAGAGAAGUUGUUGUACUUUAGUCCGAGCAGUUCAAAAGUUGUGGCAUUACUUACUUAGUCAUACCACUUACUUCAUUUUUCAUUCGAUCCUCUGAAAUAUUUGUUAAAAAAACCGAUACCGGCAGGGCAUAUGGUAAAGUGGCAGAUGAUGCUUUCGGAAUUCAAUAUUGUUUUCACUACGCAAAAGGCAAUCAAGGGGCAGGUCAUAGUAGACCAUUUGGUCGAAAAUCCGAGAGAAGAUGAUUACCAGCUAUUGCAUACCUAUUUUUCUGAUGAGCAGAUCUUAUUUAUUAGCGCAUCAGAAGAUAUGAAUGAGCAAUACCCUGGGUGGAGACUAUUCUUCGAUGGCAUUUUGAAUUCUUUUGGGGUCGAAAUCGGAGCUGUUCUGGUGUCACUUGAGGGAAACCAUUACCCCGUCGCUGCUAAAUUACGAUUUCCUUACACCAAUAACAUGGCUGAGUACGAAAUUUGCAUUUUUGGACUGCAAAUGGCAUUAAAAAUGGAGAAAAAGGAUUUGAUAAUGUUCAGUGAUUCUGAUUUACCGGUGCAUCAAACGCUCAAGUUGUGGGUGACUCAAGAUAUGAAAAUUAUGCCAUACCAUUGCAAUCUGCUUAGUUUGGCCAAUAAGUUUCGAAAUUUAGAGUUUAGACAUAUCCCUCGCACUUGUAAUGCUUUCGCUGCUACUCUGACUACCUUAUUUUCUAUGAUUCAACAUCCAGAUGAGUUGGAAAUUGAACUUAUUCAGAUUCAAUUCUAGGAUAAACUGGCACAUUGUUUGGUUGUGAAAAAGACCUCUGAUGAUUGUCCAUGGUAUAGCAAUAUCAAGGAAUUCAUAAAGACAGGAUCUUACCCUCCGGACGCCGAUUCAGCUGCCAAGAGUUUCUAGUGUAGAAUGUCGUCAAAAUUCUUUUUGAAUGAAGAGGUGUUAUAUAAGAAGACUUCAGAUUUGGGUCUUCUAAGGUGCAUCACUAGAAAUGAUGCUAAUUAUAUGAUGAAAGAAGUGCACAGCGAUGUAUGCAGACCACACAUGAAUGGGCAUUUAUUGAUUAAAAAGAUCAUGAGAACAGAGUAUUUUUGACUCACCAUGGAGCAUGGCUGUGUAGAUUUUGUCAGAAAAUGCAUAAAGUAUCAAAUGCAUGCCUGUGACGCCCCCACUUCUCCCAAGGGCGAACCCAAGGGUAUCCGCGGAACGCCUGCCUAGCUCUCGCCAGGACUCGAGACAAAUCAAUUCAAACUUAACAAUAUAUAACAAUUUAUACCAGUCUAAUAAGGAAAAAAAUCGCUUCCAUAAACGAAUAUCCAAAUCUUGUACCACGUGUUCAAAAUACAUCCGUUAUCCAAUUCUUACGUCAGGAUCCAAAAGAUACAUCAAUUCCCAAAUAUAUACAAUAGCCAAAAUGUCUAGUCAAUUACAAUUGAAACCCUAAUACAAAAGUACAUCCAAAGGGUUCCAACGAGUUUUACUCCAUCAAUUCCUGUUAAGGAAAACAAAUCUACGGGGUGAGCGAAACGCUCGUGAGGCCAAGAAAACACACAUGCAAGCACGUUGUCCAAAUAACAAUCCCAAUAUUCAAGUAAUUUACAAUUCAAGCGAGAAAAAUAAACAGAAACAAUUCAAGGAUAUAGGAGCUCUCAGGAGCUAUUUUCCUCUUGCUUCGCCACGGCUCGAUCCGAUACCCCCUCGUGAUGCCACUCCGUUAUCCGGGUGGGUAUUUUAUCCGUAACAACUUCACUUAUUACUUCCUCCGACCAACAUUCCACCCUCUCGGAUCCGAAACCAAACACGCACGAAAAAGGCGAUACUCGUCGAGUAUGCGACACGAGAUCUCAAGAGAUCAAGUUUUGAUUUUUGAACACGCACGGAAAGGGCGAUACUCCACGAGCAUGCCGAACAAGAUCUCAAAAGAUCAAGUUGUGUUUUGUUACUCUCUUGGUUUAUCAAACUUCUCGACCAAGCCCAUGCCGGCUCGAGUUGUAAGAUUGGUUAAGAGAAUUGGGCGUCCCCAUAAGUCGAGGAGGUUCACUCCACCCGACAACAUGACACGCACGACAUACACGACAUGCAUGGCAACACGACACGCACACGAAAACGGGUAUAUUUUAGUCGACGAGAUUCACUCAAUCGACUUUGAAAACCAAGUUAAUACAAGUAAAGUUCAAGUAAAGGAGAGCGAGUGCGAUAAAGUACACACUCGUCUCAUCAAGUGAUAUUCACGUAUAUAAGCAGGUAAAUCAAGUAAACACGACAAGUCAUGCACUUGACACUCACCAAUUCAAAAGUAAUUGAGCGAGAAAAUCUUUAGUUGUCCCCUCCGGGAUUCUUUUCAAGACUCGCUUGAGCACCUGAAGCAAUUAACAAGUAUUUUUCACUCACAAUCACGUAUUAAUCAAGAAAGGAGUUACGCUUAUUUGGACUAGUCAAUACCUCAAACCAAGAACCUUAGCCACUCAAAAUAAAGGUUCAAAAGUGAGGUUUUAUUAACACAAGAAAAACUGAUUUCCUUCAUGAAAUCAAGUUUAAAGCGAUCAAUUAUCAUCAAGAAGGAGUAACAAGUUUUCAAAUUUUCAUUUUCUAAGAAAUCAGCAAAUUUCAGCUUUGCGCGUCAAAUUUAGAAAAAUCAGAUCUUGCACUCAGUAGGUCCAAAAUUAUAAAACUUGGUACCGUUGGAAACCUCUUAGAAAGUACUAAAAGUUCUUAAAAGAUACUUUUCCAUGAAUCUAAGUGGAAGGUAUUCAAAAAUGAGCUUGAAGGUACAGGUUCGGCGUACAAGGCAGAAUUAAGUUGGAUUCGGCCAACUUUGGAAAUUCGGCACGAUUCACAUGUUGCAAACCGGCCUCUGAAAUUUACAGCUCAAUUAGUGUUACAAGUGAGGUUUAUAACAAAACAAGCGGAUCAAGAAUCGGAGUUUCGAGUACCGAGAUACGGUAGCUCAAAGUUGAGGAAGAUUCAAGACUGAAGAAGAAUUUCCAGUUUUGAACCUCCAACACUAGCAAUUUAAUUCGGUAUCGAAACGAACUUGAAUUGGUGCCAAAAUUGGCAGUAUUUUACUCCUAUAUGCAAGGUAUUCCUCUAUCAAAUUUCAGGGAAAAAUACCCUCGGGAAGGUAGUUAAUUAGUCAACCAAAGUUCAGGGAAAAUUCUAAGGCAAUCUGCCUUGUGACUUUCAUUUCACAAUUUCAAAUCGUUUAACCAAGAAAACUAUCCGAACAUGGUUCAUUUGUGAAACAAAGGUCUAAGACACAUCCAUGAUACCUUUGGUAAGUGAUGAGCAUCAAGAACUUCAAUUAAUAAAAUCAUUCCCAAUUUUGCCCCAAAUCAGUCCAAAUACUACGUUUUUCCAAAACAGGGCAGUCCUCUUGUUUUAGUCACAACUCAAUCAAUUUAACUCGGAAUGAGGCAUGGUUUAUGGCGUUAGAAAAUAAAUUCACGGGACUAAAAGUUCACAGAAGGAAAUGUUCUGAAAUUUGGCAAGAAACCAGCUCAAAAUUGAGCCUCAAGUUGCUGCCUCAACAAGCCAUUCCAGCAAAUCCGAGAGACAGGACAGCUAACUUAAAACGUUUGGUUCGGAUCACUCACAAAGAAUCAGAACGUGCAUUUUAUCUCAAAUUAAAGCUAGGAAUGUCUAGUUUCAAACGCCACCGACGGCACUUGAUUUCGACACCCGAGGACAGAGUUAUGGCCAAAAUACGACCACUGGACAGUUUUACCCGAAAAUAAUUUUCCAGCAUGCCUAGUUCAUGAAUAAAUUCAUUUGCCCAUCCAAUCGUUAAUGUUUUCCAACGAAAAUUUCUACACACAUAAUAUAACAUAUACACAUCAGGUUCAUGCCAAUAAAUCACCAAAAAUUGGCCUUAUAGUGGCCGAACAAAACAGGGGCAGUUUCGGAAAUUUCUUGUCAUGACCUCUACUUUGAGUUUCCAACAAUAAUACUCCAUAAAUCCAUCAUUAUAACCAUUAAACUACCAUUAAAUCCAACAUUAAUCAUCUAAUCAGCAACAACAACCCAAGUGUGGGAAUACAAAGAGCCCACUAUCACAUUUUACAACCAUAUCAAACCAUCCAUACACAUGCAAUAGCUUAAAGAUGCAUUUCUACCAUCAUAACCUAAGCUUAAGGUGUUGGAUGAAGUUAUACCUCCUUAGUGCCUUAACCCAGAAAUUUUCGGCCCUCAAGAGCUCCAAGAAACCGUGAAAAUGCAGCCCUUUUUGUUAGCUAAAUCCAACCUCCAAGUAGUUUGCUAGAUGAUCUUCAAGUUUGGUGAAGAUUGGUUGAGGUUUUGGGUUGAUUUAGUGAAGAAAUUUGUGAAGCAAGAGAGUGAGUGAGAGAGGGGUGUUGGCCGGCUGCUAGGUGAGAGAAGAUGGAGUGAAGUUUGAUCAAAAUUAGCUUCCAAGAGAAGAUUAAAUGAGUGGUGCACAUUUACUCCAAAGUCAACUCUUAUUAGGGCUCGUUUGGCACGUUUUAGGUUCGAUUUUCUCGCGCGUUUGGUUCACUAGUGCACUGAACCUCCAAUACAUUUAUAUUCAUGUAAGUAUUAUUCACUCUUAAUUGUCUCGAAAUAAGGGUCUAAAGUCCCUCAAAUAAAGUCGCGCGUGUGAAAACGCGUACCGUCAAUUUUAACGCUAUAACGCGAAACUUCCAAUAAAUUCUCAUAACGAUUGCACUACUAACUAUCACUUGAGUAUUUACUCAUAAGAUUACCUAUUUUAGAACCAUAGUACAAGUCUCCAAUAUUCCAAGCUUAUUGUGUUACUACGCGGAUAAAAUCUCCAAGUACUAUUCACUAUUUUUACUAGACGUACUCCAGGAAAUUAAUUUUUGAAACGAAUCAUUUUAAAAAUAUAACGAAGUUAUAUUACCAUGUAUUUAGGUCUAAUAAGACUAGAAAAUAUUCCUCGAAGCGAAAAUCCAAUUAAAUAAUUUAUUAAGCCAUAAAUUAGGCAUAAAAUAAUAGUUUUUACGAGUCCUCACAAUGCCGAUGUUAUACGUGCUCUUCCUACAGAACUACAUAGUAUGACUGCUUCUUGGCUAUGCUCAAUAUGGGGAAUAGACGUGGUUGGAGUUAUUGAUCCCCCUGCCUCGAAUGGGUUUCAAUUCAUCUUUGUGGUGAUAUAGUAUUUUACCAAAUGAAUCGAAUCAACGUCUUACAAGAAUGUAAUCAAAGGCGAAUGGAUUAAGCAAUGACAUGAGCAGCUAUCUCUGAUUGAUGAAAAACGGUUAAAUGCUGUUUGCCAUGAACAAUGUUAUCAAAGGCGAAUGACCCGUACUUACAAUAAAAAGUCAAAUCUCGCAUAUUCCAAGAAGGGGACAAAGUCUUGAAACAAUUCUUCCUAUUCAAGAUGAAACUAAAGAAAAAUUUGUUCCAAAUUGGCAAGGACCAUUCGUUGUUAAGAAGGUAUUGCUUGGAGGAGUAUUCAUUCUCACGGAGAUGGACAGACAGGUUUUUUCUCAACAAAUCAAUUUAGAUAUAUGUAAGAAAUUUUUCAUCUAAUUAUGUGAAUUUUCUUUUUGAAAUACUGCCUAGGGUGGACUAAACAACGGGCCUUCUUCUUUUUCUUUUAAACAUUUUAUCCCUAAUUUUUUUCUUUGAGCAUCUAGAAUAAUCUGCUUUUUCCGUCUGAUAAAUCCCUAAGGGUCGCAAACCCCAUAUUGGGGCAGGUUUUAUUUUGCACUUAAGAAAAAAGGAGUAAGGUAUACAGAAACAAAGAAAGAAUAGGAGAAAACUCAGUCUAAAAAUUAAAUUGGGACAAUUUUUUAGUUUCAAUAGCCUUAUACUGGGGCAAAUUUCAUAGGAUGCAGUCCUAGGACUCUUUGAAACCCCUUUAAAGAUCUGUAUUCGAACCUUAAUAUUUCUUAACACCCCACCUGAUCCUAUUACAAAAGCCAAAAAGCUCCCGACCUCCGUCAUAACGGUAUUUCUAAUAGAAAUUUUUUUAAUCAAAUAGCAAGUGAUGUAAAUACACCUUCACCAAUUUUGCAUGGGAAGGAUAAUUACACUCAUGCUCAUUAGGUGAAAACCAGAAGGGCGCCUUUUUAAAAAAAGAAGAAAGAAAAAAAAAGAGAAAAAAAAAGGCAAAAGUAAAAGAAUAGCAAAUAAAUGGGUGGGGGCAACCUUAGUGAAAAUUCGAAAGGGCACUAAGGUAGGAUUUGAAGUACCAACUAAGCCGUGAAUGAAAAGUCGAGGGUCGAUUAUUAAGAAACUGGUGACUAUGUUCAUUUGAAUACACUGAAUUUCAAGAAUGUGAUAUUCGAAGGGGUCAAAUGCGACAUUGCUCUCAUCAUAGAAGGGCCAUUCAAAUUUAUAUCUGAAUUUUCAAGUCAUUUUUGUAAACUUAAUAAGAGUCAUUUUCUUGUUGAAAAUCAUUUUUACUCUAUUUUGUAUCAUUGCAUGAAAUAAUUUUAUCUAAAACUUUUAUGUGCUUUCCAUUGAAUUCAACCAAGACACAAUUCCCGUAAUUUAUCGUAAUUGGUGCAUAAAUGUAUAUCUCAUAGUAUAAGCAUGAUUGACUGAGUUCAGAUACUAGCAGAUCAAGAGAAGAUUGCGCAAGAUUUCUAAAUCGGAUAGUUCCUCGACAUAAAAAAUCUCAUGUUUAUAGGAUUUUCAAGACUUGAGGAACCGCACGGUGGUGACAUUAUAAUUCGUCACGAUUAUUUUUAUUUUCUUUUGUAGGAUUGGAUUACGCACGUCUUCUUAAACGAAGAGGAAGAACAACAAUUAUUUAGCUAAGUCUGAUCUACAUUGAGACAAAUUUUUUCACAAAAGUGACAUCUAAUUCUAUAAAUAAAUUUAUUGUUUGCAAAAACGCUCUUUUUUAUUUUUUCAUAUAAUUAUUAUUUUGUUGGAUUUGAUUUUUAUCCUACAAACCUGUUAUUCCUAUUGGGUUUGGGUUUUAUCCCACCAAUCGUUAUUUCGUUGGAUUUGGAUGUUAUCCCACCAACUGUUUAUUUUGUUGGGUUUGAAUUUUAUCCCGUCAAUCGUUAUUUUGUUGGACUUGAAUUUUAUCUCAAGAACCAUUAUUUUGUUGGGAUUGGAUCUUGGCCCAUCAACCAUUAUUUUGUUGGGUUUGGAUCGUAUCCCACCAACCGUUAUUUUGUUGGGGUUGGAUUUUAUUCCACUAACUCGUUAUUUUGUUGAGUUUGGGUCUUGUCCCACCAACUUUUAUUUUGUUGGAUUUGGAUCUUAUCCCAUCAACUGUUAUUUUAUUGGGAUUGAGUUUUAUUCCACAAACUGUUAUUUUGUUACGUUUGAAUUUUAUCCCACCAACUAGUUAUUUUGUUGGAUUUGAGUUUUAUCCUACCGAUUGUUAUUUUGUUGGGUUUGAGUUUUAUCCCACCGACUGUUAUUUUGAUGGGUUUGGAUUUUAUCUCACUAACAUUUAUUUUGUUGGAUUUACGUUUUAUCCAAUCAACCAUUAUUUUUUUGGGUUUAGAUUUUAUUCCACCAACUUUAUUUUGUUCGGUUUGAAUUUUUAUGCUACUAACCGUUAUUUUGUUAGGUUUGGAUUUUAUUCCAACAGCCUUUUGCUUUGUUAGGCUCAGAUUCGGUCGCACCAACUUUUUAUUUACUAGGUUUAUAUUUUCCAAUUCGUUAGGAUUUACUAAUUGUUUGGACUGUAGUUAGAUCCCACUAAUCAAUUUAAAUGCUUACUCACUUUAUUUGAAACUUACUUUGUUUGAUUUGAUUCAAUUGGAGCAGACAGGUAAGUAAUUUGGUGUCUAAAUUUUUGUUUUGAAUUUUUGCGAAACUCAGACAAAGAGUAGCAAGUAAUUUAUAGUUAUUAUAUUUAUUUUUAUUUCAUUUUUUAUUUAUCUAUUUAUUCAUUUUAUUUUAUUUCAUGGUAUUUUAUUUUUAUUUCUUACUUAUUCUAAAGAAAAUCAUUUCAAUUCAUUUUUAGAAAAAUUAGAAUGAAAAUAAAAGGAAGGACAGAAAAAGAAAAAAAAAAGAGAGAAGAGAAGAAGAAAAAUCAAAAUCAGAUUUUGAAAAAAAAAAGGAAAACAGCAUACACGCGCGUGUCAUCUUCAUUAUUUCGUACAUGGCCAUGAACGAAAGCAUAGUAUCGGAAGUUGUAGCUCGGAUUUCAUCCAAUUCCACUUGUUUUUCCCCCCAAUCUUUAGCCACCUCAUCCAUUGAUUUUUAUCAAGAGAGUUUUAGAAUCAAAACCAUCUAAUGGCUCUAAAAUGCCCAACAAAUCUAGGUUUCAUCCUUACCUUUGAGGUCAGGGUAUGGGAGCCUUUAUUUCGUAUAAAUACCAACAAAACACAAGGAUUAGGGGUAAGAAAAGGAGAAAGGGUGGCGGAAACACAAAGAAAAAAAGAGAAGAACGGAGAGAGAGAAAGAAAAGGAUACAACAGAAUUUUUCUGAGAAAAUAACUUUGAGCCAGAGUUGGUGAAUAGGCCUCCUUCCUGGCCGAAAUUUGAUCUUAGUCUUAGUCUUUUAGGUGUAUUGUUUGUUUCUGCACUAUCUAUACUUGUCAAGGAGCAACUUCUCUUCAGAAAACUUUCAGAAAAAACAUCUACAAGACCAUCAUAUCGAACCCCAAAAUAGCAGGGUUGUCAGCACUUGGACAAUUCUUCAUCAAAAGGUUGGUGACCCGGUUCCUUCAUUUGAUUGCAUUAUUUUCGGAUCCUCCAUGUUUAUCUGGCUCGAUUAAGCUUCAAAGCUAACCUGGUUCAUCUCUUUGUUUUCGUAUACGUCUAGAUCUGCGCCAUAUGUAUCAAGAUUUGUUGCAUUCGUUUGUUUCCUCUUUCUCUUCUGCUUUGACUGUCUUCCCCUUUCUUUUGCAGCCCCCCCAGUCUAGAUUUUCCCUUUUUUUUUGUUUGUUUUGUUCAAUCUUGCAUUUUGAUGAUGGGUUUUGUGAAAUCUAGCGAGUAUUUGGAACCGGAGUUUUGUUUUAGAUUGUCGCAUGCUUUCUGGGUUGUCAAACUUUCAAAGCAUCAGAAUACUUCGAACAGCUUUGCAUGGGAGAUUUGGAAUUUGCAUUUUGGCCUCCCAACUUUCAUCUAAUCCCACUAUGGCCCAAUACCUGGAAAAAUUGAAUCAAUUUCCCCCCUUUAAGUUUUAAUCUUCUUUUGCAUAUUUUAACUAUGUUUUUGAACAAACUAUUUCCAAAUUUUAGGUCAUAAUUAAGACUUAAUAAUUUUUGAUAGAUUUAAUAUCUUGUGGGUUUUAGUUAAAUAAGUAGGAUUUUGGGUUAAGAGUUAUUUUGUUUCGAUUUUGAUAGAAGUUUUGGUUUAUUUUGAUUGGGUUAUGGCAUGGAGUUGGGGGAUAAAACCCAUACAUUUCGGUUGGGUUUGCUUGGGUAAAAAGAGUAGGCUGGUCCGUGUUUUUCUUUGAAUUUUCGUUGGCCCGGGGGAAGUUUUAGACCCAAUGAAAUAAUAAAAGGCCCAUAGCCCUUUGGCUUACAAAAUUUGAUACGAAAAUUGCAAUCUGGUCCCUAUACUUUUGAGUAAUUUUAGUGUGGCCCUAAAACUUGAUUUUCUUUCAAUUAGAUCCUUAAUUUAAUUACAAUUUGAUUCCUGAACUUUAUUUUUCUUUAAUGUUGACACUGAUCUUUGUAAUAAUUAUAAUUUAACCCCAAAAACUUUCUUAAUUUUUGUAAUUAGAUCCCUAACAGCUUUGAUUUCUUAAGUAUAAUUUGUCUAUCUUCUUUAAUUAUUAAUUAUAUUUCAUUUAAAUGCUUUUAAUUGGUAGAUUUCAUAGUUAUUUACAUUUUUUAUAAUUUAUUUGUUAAUUAAAUUGGUGUCUUGACCAUUUUGUUGAUUUUGGAGUAUAAAUGGUGCAAAUCCAACCUUAUUUAACCACUAAUUCAAGAGAGGUGUUUUCUAGUAUUAUUUUAAAUUCUCUUAUGUACUCCUAUGUGCUUUUUAUGUGUGAUUGCAUGUUUUGAGGGUUUUUUUUCUUGUAUUUACUCAUUUUAUUCUUUUAAAAUUUUUAUUUAUUAUAUUUAAUUUUGAUGAUUAUUUGGACUGCAUUUAAAUGCCAAAUUGUAAUGGAUAGAUGCUCAAGAGAUGUAUUUAACUAGGCUAUGUAAUAGAUAGAUUUUAUUUUUGUGAAAAAUGUAAUUAGUUAGAUGAAUAUGAUAGUUAGGUUAAUAUUUUUCAAAAUUUUCCCUUUAGAUUGUAGUUAGGACUCCAAAUGUAAUAGUUACAUCUUUAUGUGCGUUUAUUUGUUUAUGUGCUUGCAUGCUUGUGUGCUUAUGUGUUUAUUCGCUUUCUUUAGAGUUUUUAUAUCUAGAUAUUAUGCUUAUGUAUUAUGUGCUCUAUGUGUUUUAUGUGUUUACUUGAUUUAAUUAUAUUUUAUUUAUUUAUAAAAAAUACAUAACGUCACGACACUAGUCCAAUGCUAGUUAUGGCAUUUUUUUCGUUUUCUCACUAGUCCAAUACUAGUAAGAACUUAUAGACAUGGAUUAGUCCAAUGCUAGACGGUUAAGGCCACCUACGCGCUAAAAUUACAUGUUUGUAUGACAUUUAUUGCAUUUCAUGCAUAUUUUUAUUUUUAGGGUCUUUUUCUCAUCUUGUAUGAUCUUUCCUCUAUAUAUUAUCUCCCUUAUCCCUAUGUGCGUAAAACAUGACAUUUAGACUUCCAUUCCAUUUAGAAAAAUAGAAAUAAGUUAGUUUAUUUGCUUGAUUAGAUUAGAAAAGUCACCUUUCAAAUAUGAAAAGUGAACGAGUAUGGCUUCUUAGCCUUAACACGCUCUUUUUCCCUUUAUAAGAAGAAAAAUUUGAAUCACAAAUUUUAACAUCCCGUACCCGUUAUGUUGCAUUCUCUUUUUUUUAGAUCAUGUAUAUUUAUCUAUAUGUUAUAACUUCUUUUUUGAGUCUCAUAUUUUGCAUAUUCAUGACCUCUUCUAAAAAUCAUUUUUGGGCGUCGCAAUUAAUUUGAUUUGCACCAAUUAAAUUUUGAAGAAACAUUCCGACCCUUCUGAUACCCCCUAGGUCUAGACUCGCAUUCAUAUAGAAGCAUCCUAAUGUAAUAAGUUGCAUAGGUUAGACUAAGAAAAUUUUCGACUAAAUUUCGCAACUAGUUUUGGUUGGAUUGAAAGGGUAUCUUAGGUUUGAAACUAUCAAAUCUUUGCCUUCCCUUUUUACAACCGUGACUCCCAAACUCUCUUAUCUUGUUUUCAAAAAUCUGGAGUCGUCUAAAAGUUGUUUUAUUCAUUAGUUAUUUAAAAAUAUGUUUUGGAUGACUUGGUAUUCCUAAAUUCAAUACCAAGUGGCAACUCCUAUUUUUCCUAAAAAAAUCCUUUUUAGAUUAUUAUUUUGGAUCCAAACCGUCACAUUUUAAAUAAAGAUAUGUGAAGUAUGGUUUGAAAAUUGGUGAGGUGUGUGAAAAUGUAAAUGAAAGAAAAAGGUCAUAGGGCUUUGAAAUGCGACGGUUUGGCCAAAAAUAGUAAUCUAAAAGGGUUUUGAUAAAAUGUAGGAGUCACCACUUGGUAUUGAGUUAGGGUGUACCAAGUCACCCAAAAAAUGUGGAUUUAAAUGUGAAACCUUUUUAGAUUGACUCCAAAAUCUACGAUAAAUCAGAGAAAAAUGGUUCGGGGGUCACAGUUGAAAAGAGGGAAGGCAAAGACAAUGUCUAAGGCACCCUCUCAACCUAGCCUAAGUUAGUUGCAUGAUUUAGUCAUGAUUUUCCUAAUUUCUAACCAAAAGAUGUAUCGCAUUUGGAUGCAACUAAUAUGAAUGCAAUCCUAAACCUAAUGAGGAAUCGAAAGGGACAAAUAUCUCUUAGAGACUCGAUCGGACUAAAUCACAUGAGUUGUGAUAGCCAAGGAUAAGCUUUCCAAGAGGUCACGAGUAAUGCUAAUGACGAAAAAAUGAAUGAAAUGAAUUUAUGCAAUGUCAAAACAUGAUCUUGUGUGAAGUGAAAAAAGUAAUAAUAAAAAUAAUAGUGUGUAAGUGGGAAUGUGCAAAUGGGGGUGCAAGGUGAGGUAUGUAAAGUGAUAGUGUGAAGUGCAUGUGUGCUCAGUGGUAGUAUGUAAAGUGCUAGUGGUAGAGUGAGAAUGUGUAAGAUAAAAGUCAUGUGAAGUGAAUAUAUGAAAAAAGUAAUAGUAUAUGAAGUGAGAGUGCAAAGUGAUAGUGAGUAAAUGAAAUGCAUGAACCCUAGAAGAAUGCAAGCAAAACGGGUACGGGGAGACCCUAAAUCGUGACUUUUGCUUUUCCUUUUGAUUAGAAAAAGAAUGAGCGUGCUAAGGCUAUGUGCAGCCAAACUCGUCCAUCCCCUUUACCAAAAGAGUAACUCCCUAAGCUAAUCAGGCAAAUGACCCUAAUGACUAGAGUGAAAUGCAAAAUCCUAAAGAUCAUAUUUUGAAUGUGGGAAAAGGGUAAAGAAUCAUGCAAAAACGUAAAAAAUACUAAGAAAAAUGCAUGAAAAUGUAGUGAAGGCAUGCGAGUAUGUACUAGCGAGGGACGGCCCUAUUGGGUCGAGCAUUGGACUAGCCCUUUACUAACGCUCUCUCACAAGCAUUGGACUUGUGAGCGAUCGGGAAUAAGUAACCAUGACUAGCAUUGGACUAGCCACGGUUAUAUGGUACAUUUCCAUUCACCAUAUAUACACAAGUAAAUGGGCAUAGUUAAAGCAAGUAGACAUGUGAGCACGUAAUUCACAUAACACAUAAGCAUGCAUAUCUAGAUGCUAAAUCCUAGGAAAACGGUAACACAUAGCACGUAAGCAUGCAAACCACACAAAACAAAAUAAAAACAAUAAGUCCUAACUAUUAUAUUCGGGAAGUCCUACUACAAUCUAAAGGGGGAAGUGAAAAUAAUUAAUUAAAAUAAAUACCUAACUAUUACAAUUUGGCAUUUGAAUGCCUUUCAAAUAAUCAACAUUGAACUAAAAUAAAUAUACAAAAGUAACCAAAUAAAGUAACUAAAUGAAUAAAUAAAAUGAGAAUAUUCAAAAGGCAUGCAAUUAAGCACAUAAAGUCACAUAAGGGCACAUAGGAUCAAAUAAAGUAAGAAAUAAGGGAUAGGGUGUACCUCCCUUGAGUUGGGGCUCUAAGGACAUGAAUUACUUAUUUACCCUCCAAAAGAAUAAAAAUGUCAAUGUACCAAUUUAAUUGCGAAAAUUAAAGAAAAUAUGCAAACACAAACUCACUUGGCCAUAAAGCCCUUAAAAUUAUGAAUUAAGUGCAAUUUAGACAAGGCAUGGUGGCUAAUUGAAGAAAACAAGCAAUGGAGUUGCAACAUUAGAGCUGCCAAGGACCCAAUUGUAAAUAUUAGGAAAAUUUUUAGGGCCUGAUCAUGAUUUCCAGAACUCUAGGGCCAAAAUUGAAGAAAAGAUAAAGUUCAGGGCCUAAUUUGAAAUUGCAGCAGGGACCCAAUUGAAAGCACUUGUAAAAGUCUUGGGGUCAAAUAUGAAGUCCUAAAAUUCUGGGGUUAAACCACAAAGACAAUAAGACUAAAGGGGCUGAAAUUAUAAAUCCAAACAAGCAAUCAUCCUCUCCAAACAGAUUCGGCAUCAGUUUCCAUUUCCGUCUUCCUUCGCGGAUGGAGAAUACUAGAAAAAUUCAACUCUGGCCACUCCCCAAAAAGGAAAAAAACUCACACAAACUCCCUCUCGUACAAGUUCAUGACAUUAAUUCGAGUUUAUAUAAAAGGAAGAUUAAAACAGAAAAAUGCAAAAAUGAGCACAUCAUAAGCUUCCGGAACUCUAUUUUUCCUCCAUAAAAGUCAUGACAAGCAUUGAAUCUUACUGUCCACUUGUUUUCUUCAUACGUAAUAUGCGGAUGAAUCAUCUUUCAAGUAGAAAUUUCACUCAGGCAUUUUAACAAACAGCAAAUGGGCAUGAAAAAAUUCCAGCAAGUUUUUGCUCAAACGAUGCUAUAACUAGCCCCAAAAAUCAUCAGAAAACACACGAGAUUUCAGUCCCAUUCAUACAUGAAACGGGCGUUCCAAAAUCGUGUAUAAUCAGCAAAAUAAUGAACAAAAUCAGAAAAUAAGCUUUGAGCGUUUCAUGCGUUCGUGUUUGAAGGAAGACUGAAAUUUGAAGUGGGAAGACGGCUUACAGUUUGUUUCUUGGUGAAACUUUGCUAGUGCUGACGUCGGAUUCGAUUGCUUGGGCCGACGGUUGGCCAAUUGCUUGUGCCAGUAAAGGGUGGAGCCUGAGCUAUGGGGGGAGAGGCGAUGAAGCUGGCGUCGCGCGUGACUGAGGAGGGCGGCAAAAGGCGGUGCGAGCGAUGGUGGGCUUCGGCGUGCAGAGCGAAGGGACGGCGACGUGCGAAGGGUUAUGGCCGCACGAGCGUAAGAAACCGGGGAAGCGUCCUCUUCCUCAUUUUCUUUUCCUCUUUCGGCCGAAGCCUUUCUUGCUCUCUGUUUCUUUUUUCUUUCAAUUUUUUUCUCUCCUCCCACUCAGUCGGCCCCUCUAUUCUUUCUUUUGCUUCCUUUCCUUCUUCAAAACCCUAGCCGCCGUUGCUCUCUCCCUCGCCCUUUUCUUUUUCUUUUCUCUGCCUUUUUCUCCUUAGCCCUCAACCGAGAGCCUCUCCCUCUGUUUUUUCUUUCUCUGUUUUCUUUUUUCUCUCCCCCCCAAACGAAGCUCUCUGUUUUUUUUCUCUCAAUUUCUCCUAGUCUCCCUCAUCCAGCCGUCAACUCUACUAUCCUCCCCUCUUUUCUCCCGUUGUCUCCCUUUUUCGGUCCUCACUCCCCUCUCAAAAACCUAAGCCAACCAAGUGUCUAGACACCUAACCCCUUAGGUGUUGUGUUGUCAACCUAUAAUGAGGACAUUUGUCCCACAUGCAAGAUUCCACCUAUUCACACAUUAUAUUUUUUUUUCUCCAAAAAUUAAUUUAAGUAAACAAACAAAUGAUUAAAACAACUUUUUUUUCUUUUUUCUUUUUUUUUUUGGAAAAUUUUCUUUCUCUGAAAUUUAAUACUAAAAAUGUCUAAAAUAAAAACUAAGAGACUAGAAAUGAAUAAUAAUUAACAUUUAACCAAUGAAAAAUAAAAAUAAUAGCACAUAAAACUAAAUUAAAAAUUUGGUGUCUACAGUUUGCCCCUCUUUGUCUGAGUUUCGAAGAAACUCGAGACAAAGACGUAGACACCAAAUACUCACCUGUGGUUAUUCUGUUGCAAACUACUCGAACGACUGACGCUUUUGAAAUGAGGACUGAUCCCUUUAACAAAAAAUUUCAAAAUGGGACUGAUCCCUUUAACAAAAAAUUUCAAAAUGGGAUUGACCCAGACAAGAAAUUUAAAACGGGACUGACUCGAACGAAAAAUGUAAACCGGGACUGACCCGAACAAGAAAUUUAAAACGGAACUGACUCGAACAGGAAAUUAAAACGGGACUGACCCGAUCAGGAAUUUAAAAACGGGAUUGAUCCGAACAGGAAAUUUAAAAUGGGACUGAUGUGACGCCCCCGCUUCUCCCAAGGGCGAACCCUAGGGUAUCGGCGGGACGCCUGCCUAGCUCGCGCCAGGACUCAAAAUUUAAAACAAUAAAACUAGAUAAACCCACAAGCGUACUAUUCACUAUAUAUCUAAUGCCAAAAGAGUUCUAUUUACAUCUUCAAAAGUAUCGAGUCAAACCACUCUAAUACAUUAGAAUAACAACCAGCAGAAGGUAGACCCUAUGGAGGGUCCUUAUACAAACCACCAAAACAAAAAACAAACAUCCUAAUUGUCCGACUAUUACAAUCAAACCUAACUAUACUAGUGAAGGUGCCAAGAAGUUCCCCGCGUCGUCCCCUGCUAAGGAAAACAAAGGAAACGGGGUAAGCUAGAAGCUUAGUAAGUAAACAGGAUAAAAGUGUAAAAUUUCACAUUUAAAGAAACAGCUAUUCCACAAAAUGUCAAGUCGAGUGCAAAAGUAAAAAUACAAAGAAAGGAUACAGGUUGGCUCCAAAGCCAAGUCAUUUGCCAUGCGUGAUCUCCUGUCGACACUCCGUCAACCAUAAAUAAGGUCCGUAGAACUCCACUUGUACACCCACCGAACACCUUAUCACCCUCACUGGCCAGUCACCUCACAAACUUGCCCGGGCGAACGAAAUCAUAAACUUGAGCUUGAGUCACAAGCUCGGGUCACAAACUUGGUCCACAUUCUCGGUGAACCGGAUUCACAAACUUGGUGACCUCAGACUAAGUUGGACUGGCUUCGACCAAGCCC